Molecule: transfer RNA, 70 nt
Filed under: Trachonurus sulcatus (bristly grenadier)
Lineage: Eukaryota; Metazoa; Chordata; Actinopteri; Gadiformes; Macrouridae
Description: tRNA-Pro
Rfam family: tRNA
About the family: Transfer RNA (tRNA) molecules are approximately 80 nucleotides in length. Their secondary structure includes four short double-helical elements and three loops (D, anti-codon, and T loops).
Source: RNAcentral
CAGAGGGCAGUUUAAUUAAGAAUACCAGCUUUGGGGGCUGGUGGUGGGAGUUUAAGUCUCCUCUCUCUGA